AUACGUAGGGGGCGAGCGUUGUCCGGAAUUACUGGGCGUAAAGGGCGUGUAGGCGGCCGCGCAAGUCAAGUGUGAAACGCCACGGCUUAACCGAGGCAUUGCACAUGAAACUGCGUGGCUUGAGUGCAGGGGAGGGAAGUGGAAUUCCUAGUGUAGCGGUGAAAUGCGUAGAUAUUAGGAGGAACACCAGUGGCGAAGGCGACUUUCUGGACUGUAACUGACGCUGAGGCGCGAAAGCGUGGGUAGCAAACAGGAUUAGAUACCCUGGUAGUCCACGCUGUAAACGAUGGGUACUAGGUGUGGGUAGUUCACUCUAUCCGUGCCGCAGCAAACGCAAUAAGUACCCCGCCUGGGGAGUACGGCCGCAAGGUUGAA
This 375-nucleotide ribosomal RNA is filed under the name uncultured bacterium. RNAcentral describes it as "bacterial SSU rRNA". It matches the Rfam family "Bacterial small subunit ribosomal RNA", at positions 523 to 898 of the family's 1533-position model. The record is from RNAcentral.